RNAcentral lists this ribosomal RNA (253 nucleotides) under uncultured bacterium. RNAcentral describes it as "partial 16S ribosomal RNA". It matches the Rfam family "Bacterial small subunit ribosomal RNA", at positions 524 to 776 of the family's 1533-position model. The record is from RNAcentral.
UACGUAGGGGGCAAGCGUUGUCCGGAAUCAUUGGGCGUAAAGCGCGUGUAGGCGGCUUGGUAAGUCCGUUCUGAAAGCCCGGGGCUCAACCCCGGGAGGCGGAUGGAUACUGCUGAGCUCGAGUCCGGAAGAGGCGAGUGGAAUUCCUGGUGUAGCGGUGAAAUGCGCAGAUAUCAGGAGGAACACCGGUGGCGAAGGCGGUUCUCUGGGCAUUAUCUGACGCUGAGGAGCGAAAGUGUGGGGAGCGAACAGG